ACGGAGGGGGCUAGCGUUGUUCGGAAUUACUGGGCGUAAAGCGCACGUAGGCGGCUUUGUAAGUUAGAGGUGAAAGCCCGGAGCUCAACUCCGGAAUUGCCUUUAAGACUGCAUCGCUCGAAUCAUGGAGAGGUGAGUGGAAUUCCGAGUGUAGAGGUGAAAUUCGUAGAUAUUCGGAGGAACACCAGUGGCGAAGGCGGCUCACUGGUCCAUUACUGACGCUGAGGUGCGAAAGCGUGGGGAGCAAACAGGA
This 253-nucleotide ribosomal RNA is filed under the name uncultured prokaryote. RNAcentral describes it as "partial 16S ribosomal RNA". It matches the Rfam family "Bacterial small subunit ribosomal RNA", at positions 525 to 777 of the family's 1533-position model. The record is from RNAcentral.